RNAcentral lists this long non-coding RNA (1610 nucleotides) under Apis dorsata (giant honeybee). RNAcentral's name for it is "uncharacterized LOC102681468, transcript variant X1". The record is from RNAcentral. Lineage: Eukaryota; Metazoa; Arthropoda; Insecta; Hymenoptera; Apidae.
UUAUUUUAUGAAUAAACAUUUUAUCAAAAAAAAAAAUAAAUAAACAAUAAACAAAUAAAAUAAAUAAAAGAAUAUAAAAAAACUCGAGAGAUGUAUUCGGUAGUAGGACAAAUUCUCAUGAGAGGAUUGCAAAGCGUGUUGUUGAAAAUGAAAAUCCCACGCAACAUCCAGGAAGUGGUGAGGGUGGCACCGGAUGCAUCUCAAUGAGGGGAGAACGAGCGAAUGAGUCGCGUAAAACAAUCCUUUUUGCGUUUCGCAAAGACUUACCGUCUCUCUUUCAUCUGCGGUCAGGUGGGGUACCCGUUUAGCAAGGUAUUUCGUUGCAUACACAGGUGUUCUCUCAUGGUUCGUUGUAGACGAAGGUUAGAAAACAAAUACCGUUUCCUUUUAUAACGUUUACCGCCACUAUCUUCCGAACGAUGAGCCGUUUUAGAUUAUUUCUCAAGGAAACAUGUGUUUAUAUUAUGUCUUGAAAAGACGGCCGGAGGACGCGUGGCUGCGUCUGCAUCGUCUAUUUACCACCUAAAGAGUCACCUGUUUCAUCUAGGUAGAAGAAUUUCACUAUCAAAUCCGAGUUUACCGUUGGUAUAUGUUAUCUCGUCGCGUGCACGCCGCCAUAGAAUGAAAACGUAACCGUGAUAAAUCAUCUUUAUCGAGAUCAAGGUGGUGGAUCGAGAUCGAGGUUGGAAACAAGGAUACUAGGAUCCGUUAAGGCGUGAACAAAUACAUUUUCAUUCAUCAGUAACCAUUGCUCCCUUAAAAAAAAAAAAAAAAAAAAAACGACAUUAAAAAUUCUUUGCAAAGAUCCUUCAUUGAUCCGUUCAUUAGCGGUGGUCGUUAUUAAUUGUUCAGCGUGGAAGUAUUGAAUGGUUGCGGAGAACAAUGAAGGUGGUGCACGUUAUACGAAAAUAUCUUUUGUCGUAGUCGCGAUUGUACCCACUUCCGUGGGAAUUCGCGGAACGGAAGUGCAAUUUCUGGCAAUGGGUACACCACCAUCAUCUUGGCCAGCUUCAGCAUAGCGCGAGCAACGUGAAAAAAACGAUUCUUAAGAAAUGAUGCCAGGUGCACAACACGCUUCCUUCUCACGAGAACUCGAGAUUAAUUUUUAAGAAAUUUUUUAACAAGUGCUGGCGCUCGAAGAAUUAAAUGGAAUUAAGAAGUUAACGAUGUGUCAUCUUAUUCUCGUGCCUCGAAUUCAGGUCACGCAUAAGUCAUGCACCAUAUGUUUGAGAGCAUCUAAUCCGUCUAUAUGAAUCUCGUGUUGUAGUUAUUCCGUUUUAUUAGAGAAGAAGUAGGAAGAAGAGGAAAAUAUUUGAAAAGUCGGACGCAGAGUUAUAAGGUAAAGAAAUAUAUUAUUUUGUCUAUCUAUAAAAAAGUAUAAAGUCACUUUAAUAUACGUAUAAUUUAUAUUCACAUUAUAAUAUCAUUCGUUCACUAAUCACGUGUAUUGCACGCAAGUAUAAUAAUAAAUAUUAAAUAAUUAUGUAAAAUGGUAUAAAAUUAAGAUAAAUAAUACAAUAACAAAUAUCACGACAAUCGAUAUCCGAUUUUCGAGUUGUCAUUACGAGUCAAAAUUUUUUGUAAUUUAAAUAAAAAAAAAAAAAAAAAAA